This is a non-coding RNA of Ornithorhynchus anatinus (platypus), 115 nucleotides long. NCBI's taxonomy places the organism in Eukaryota, Metazoa, Chordata, Mammalia, Monotremata, Ornithorhynchidae. The record is from RefSeq and is marked provisional.
UGGUCCUGGCUCUGGGGAGAUGCGGGGGCCUCUUUGUGGACUAAGGGCUGAGAGAAGACUAUUGCUCAACCCCAGCCCGUUUUCCAGAGGUCUCCCUUUCUCCAGCGCCUCACCG